UCUCCCCCAAAUAACCGUCCGAUCAGCAAGCAGACAGCGGCGAGGAUAUCUCUUCAAUAAAAGAGACGAAGAGGAGUUACUUCGUGUCAUAUCAGGACGUUACUAUGAUGAGGGAACUGAUAUUAAUUGUUGUGAGGAUUUGGAGUUUGCGAAUAGGAACAGGGCGAACAUUCUACAACUCCAAGACGUUGAGGCAUUUGAAUACCGCCAGGACAACAGUAAAUGCACCCUUGAGGUUUUGCAAAGUUCCGGCUUCACCGGAGGAGAUGACGACUUCUUCGAUUUGUUACCGCAAUAUGAGUGCAAUGCAACCGAAGAGACAGGCAGUACUUGGUCACUAUGUGAUAUCAACAUUAAACAGCAUGUACAGGCACAAAGUUUGGAUAUGAGUAAUCGCAACGAACUCACUAACUUAUCUGAGGACCAAUGGACAUUGCAGCCACAGAUAAGUAUCGAAUCAAAGAGCAGACUGCGACGAGGCUAUGUCUUCAAUGAAAAAGACAUUCCGCAGUGCCAUGCCAGAACAUAACUAUGAUGCAAAAGAAACGGAUAUUGAUUGCUGUCGGGAUUCGGAGCCACAUCAUCCAGGAAUGGUACCGUAUGCCGCAAUGUCGUUAUAUAGCGGAACAAACAGUGAACCAACUAGUUAUUAUACGCCGGUGUUAGCGUCACGAAGCUUAGCAAAUGCUAACACAAAGCGAGAGGAAGCGAACAAGAAUUUGGUAAGUCAAAAACAUGCGACUAUUCGAACAAUGGCA
Long non-coding RNA from Mizuhopecten yessoensis (Yesso scallop), 758 nucleotides. RefSeq lists it as uncharacterized. The record is from RefSeq and is a predicted model, not a curated record. Lineage: Eukaryota; Metazoa; Mollusca; Bivalvia; Pectinida; Pectinidae. The transcript has 5 exons.